GAGAGUUUGAUCCUGGCUCAGGACGAACGCUGGCGGCGCGCCUAACACAUGCAAGUCGAACGGAAUCAAGAGGAGCUUGCUUUUCUUGAUUUAGUGGCGAACGGGUGAGUAACGCGUGAGUAACCUGCCCUGGAGUGGGGGACAACAGUUGGAAACGACUGCUAAUACCGCAUAAGCCCACGGUACCGCAUGGUACUGAGGGAAAAGGAUUUAUUCGCUUCAGGAUGGACUCGCGUCCAAUUAGCUAGUUGGUGAGGUAACGGCCCACCAAGGCGACGAUUGGUAGCCGGACUGAGAGGUUGAACGGCCACAUUGGGACUGAGACACGGCCCAGACUCCUACGGGAGGCAGCAGUGGGGGAUAUUGCACAAUGGGGGAAACCCUGAUGCAGCGACGCCGCGUGGAGGAAGAAGGUUUUCGGAUUGUAAACUCCUGUCGUUAGGGACGAUAAUGACGGUACCUAACAAGAAAGCACCGGCUAACUACGUGCCAGCAGCCGCGGUAAAACGUAGGGUGCAAGCGUUGUCCGGAAUUACUGGGUGUAAAGGGAGCGCAGGCGGACCGGCAAGUUGGAAGUGAAAUCCAUGGGCUCAACCCGUGAAUUGCUUUCAAAACUGCUGGCCUUGAGUAGUGCAGAGGUAGGUGGAAUUCCCGGUGUAGCGGUGGAAUGCGUAGAUAUCGGGAGGAACACCAGUGGCGAAGGCGACCUACUGGGCACCAACUGACGCUGAGGCUCGAAAGCAUGGGUAGCAAACAGGAUUAGAUACCCUGGUAGUCCAUGCCGUAAACGAUGAUUACUAGGUGUUGGAGGAUUGACCCCUUCAGUGCCGCAGUUAACACAAUAAGUAAUCCACCUGGGGAGUACGACCGCAAGGUUGAAACUCAAAGGAAUUGACGGGGGCCCGCACAAGCAGUGGAGUAUGUGGUUUAAUUCGAAGCAACGCGAAGAACCUUACCAGGUCUUGACAUCCGAUGCAUAGUGCAGAGAUGCAUGAAGUCCUUCGGGACAUCGAGACAGGUGGUGCAUGGUUGUCGUCAGCUCGUGUCGUGAGAUGUUGGGUUAAGUCCCGCAACGAGCGCAACCCUUAUUGCCAGUUACUACGCAAGAGGACUCUGGCGAGACUGCCGUUGACAAAACGGAGGAAG
This 1146-nucleotide ribosomal RNA is filed under the name uncultured Clostridia bacterium. RNAcentral's name for it is "bacterial SSU rRNA". It matches the Rfam family "Bacterial small subunit ribosomal RNA", at positions 8 to 1172 of the family's 1533-position model. Lineage: Bacteria; Bacillati; Bacillota; Clostridia. The record is from RNAcentral.